UGGAAGACUAUUGAUUUAGUUGAAUUGGUUAAUUUACUUUCAACUGAUUCUAGUCAUCCUUA
RNAcentral lists this microRNA precursor (62 nucleotides) under Schmidtea mediterranea. RNAcentral describes it as "Sme-Mir-7-P20_pre stem-loop". Lineage: Eukaryota; Metazoa; Platyhelminthes; Tricladida; Dugesiidae. The record is from RNAcentral.